AACGUAGGAGGCAAGCGUUAUCCGGAUUUAUUGGGCGUAAAGCGCAUGCAGGUGGUUUCGUAAGUCGGAUGUGAAAGCCUCUGGCUUAACUGGAGGAGGUCGUUCGAUACUGCGGAACUAGAGGUCGGAAGAGGGAAGCGGAAUUCCCGGUGUAGUGGUGGAAUGCGUAGAUAUCGGGAGGAACACCAGUGGCGAAGGCGGCUUCCUGGUCCGUACCUGACGCUAAGAUGCGAAAGCGUGGGGAGCGAACGGG
RNAcentral lists this ribosomal RNA (253 nucleotides) under uncultured bacterium. RNAcentral describes it as "partial 16S ribosomal RNA". It matches the Rfam family "Bacterial small subunit ribosomal RNA", at positions 524 to 776 of the family's 1533-position model. The record is from RNAcentral.